This 73-nucleotide transfer RNA is filed under the name Ailuropoda melanoleuca (giant panda). It matches the Rfam family "tRNA". Rfam says of the family: Transfer RNA (tRNA) molecules are approximately 80 nucleotides in length. Their secondary structure includes four short double-helical elements and three loops (D, anti-codon, and T loops). Lineage: Eukaryota; Metazoa; Chordata; Mammalia; Carnivora; Ursidae. The record is from Rfam by way of RNAcentral.
ACCUAGCUGGCUUAGUCAGUAGAGCGUGUGACUCUUGACCUCAGGGUCUUAAGUUUAAGUCCCAUGCUGGGUA